AUCGAACGCUGGCGGCAUGCCUUACACAUGCAAGUCGAACGGCAGCACGGGUGCUUGCACCUGGUGGCGAGUGGCGAACGGGUGAGUAAUACAUCGGAACAUGUCCUGUAGUGGGGGAUAGCCCGGCGAAAGCCGGAUUAAUACCGCAUACGAUCUACGGAUGACAGCGGGGGACCUUCGGGCCUCGCGCUAUCGGGUUGGCCGAUGGCUGAUUAGCUAGUUGGUGGGGUAAAGGCCUACCAAGGCGACGAUCAGUAUCUGGUCUGAGAGGACGACCAGCCACACUGGAACUGAGACACGGCCCAGACUCCUACGGGAGGCAGCAGUGGGGAAUGUUGGACAAAGGGCGAAAGCCUGAUCCAGCAAUGCCGCGUGUGUGAAGAAGGCCUUCGGGUUGUAAAGCACUUUUGUCCGGAAAGAAAUCCUUGGCUCUAAUACAGUCGGGGGAUGACGGUACCGGAAGAAUAAGCACCGGCUAACUACGUG
Molecule: ribosomal RNA, 486 nt
Filed under: uncultured bacterium
Lineage: Bacteria
Description: partial 16S ribosomal RNA
Rfam family: Bacterial small subunit ribosomal RNA
Source: RNAcentral